This 6845-nucleotide long non-coding RNA is filed under the name Medicago truncatula (barrel medic). Its description in RNAcentral is "long non-coding RNA (MTRU_LNC001440)". The record is from RNAcentral. Lineage: Eukaryota; Viridiplantae; Streptophyta; Magnoliopsida; Fabales; Fabaceae.
UAUCUUUUUAUACUAUAACUUUAACAAUAUAUAUUUACACUUGGUCUUUCCACCAUUUAAUACUCGUAAAGUUUUAAGAGACACCGUAAACUCGUAACAACGAACGCCUCAAAGUUCUCAUACUCACCAUGCCUGUACAUUGUGAAGAAAAAAACUAGCAAACAUAGAACUAACUCCCAAAUCACACCAAAACAUAGAAAACUGGAAUACCAAUCAUUAUGCAAACGUGAUAAUAUGCAAACGACAUAUACUAAUAUAUGUUCCUUUUAAAUCACAUGUUACUAUUACGACAAUAUAUUAAACACACAUUAAUUGUCCAUAACACAAUACUAAGCUUAGUCCAGUCACACACCAAACUAUUUUUCAACCUAAGUAUUGAAGUUAUUCUUAUAGAUGGUGGGGUUAAAAAGAAGGUUUGUAUCCUAUACACAAUUCAACAUAAUCAUGAUCAUAAUGUAUGUAUAAAAAAGAACAAUCACUACAAAGUAGGAAAAAUGAUUAUGAAUCCAGUAAACAUUAAAAUCCAAGGUUUAUAAUAUUAUUAUUUGUUGUCUUACAAUUAUCUUAGGGUACAAAUUUAUAAAUUCCAGGCUUAUGAAACUAGGGGAAAAAAUAGAAUAAUUGGUUGCUAGGUAUAGUAUAUUGCACAUUUAUUAUGCUCGCACAAUAAUUUUUUCUCCUUUGUGCUUGUACUCAUAGAACCGGUAAAGCUUUGUCACCCGUAUUUACACAUUUCAUCAAUGCACUUAUAACCAAUUGGACAAUCGGCAUCAUUUUUACAUUCAAUAAUUUCUGAAUAAUGUGUCUUACCACCACAUGCUUCCGUUGUGACAAAAAAUAAGAAAAGAAAUAGAAUCAUAACAUAGACAAACUUGAGAAGUUCAACCAUAUUUUUUCCUCUUUCCAUCUAUAAAAUAGCUUAUGAUUUGAUAUCUUUAUAAUAGUAUAUAAAGUUGAUGCUCUCCUAAAAAAAUAAUUAAAUAGUUGCUCUCACUUAGUUGUGAAAACUCUUAGUAAUAUUAUAAUCAUUAUUAUUAUAUAUAUUCAAAGUAUAUCAGUGUGUUUUGUUUUGUUUGUCCCUUUAGAAUACCUAAUAAGGAGGUCAACUAAUAGUAAAGGAAAAUAUUUAACCUUUCAUGAUAGUAAAGGGAAAAUUUUCUUUUAAAUCUUUUAUAAAAAAAACCUAAUUUUUUAUUACUUUUUUAACCUUUCAUGAUAGUAAAGGGAAAAUUUUCUUUUUGGUCAAUGGUAAAUUUAUUUUUUGGAAUAAAUAACGAAUGAGGUGAGAACAUGUUUAUGCACAAGUACAAUGCUUUGUAAGAUCAUUUUUUGUUAAUAAAAUCAUUGAAUAAGAAAGAAUGCAUAUUUAAAUUUUUAAUUUCAUGAUUUAUUCUACAUUAUCAUUCACAUCAAUUAUGUAAUUCACAUUGAUUUGCAAAAUAAAUUGGUACUGAAUAUAAACAGAAAUUGUUUUUCAAAAUGAUUCAUAUAUAUAUAUAUAUCAUAGAACCAUUUUUUGAACUAAAUGUUUAAAUGACUGAGUGGGAUUAAAAUGGAAAUUAAAACGAUAAUAAUGUGUAUACUUGGAUAUAUGAUUGCGUGAAUGGUCUGACGUCUUUACUAAGGAAAAUGCUUGUUGGCACGAGACCACCAAGCACGACAUGCAACAAAUGCAUUGUGACCCUUGGAUUGCAGCACUUUUAUUUCUCUCUCAUCCGUGUGGUUUGUUUCGAUGGCUGUUACAUGUGUCGUGGGUUUGUCGUGCAUGCAUAGUAUCGUGCGUUAUAGCAUUGCUCCUUUACUAAAUUAAGGCAAAAAACUGUAUCGUAAAUAUUGGUUUUGAAUGUAUUUAUUUUCAAUUAUGAAUCUUUUUUUUUUUUUUUGAGAGAAACGUGUUUAUAGCAUUUCAUUAAUCAUAAUAGUUUCAAUACAAUUGUCAUAAUAAACGGCGGUUAUGUGUUUGUGGUUAUGUGUGUUUUGGACUGUCUGUCUGUGUAUGAUAAAUUGUGCUAAGUUAUAGAAAGUCAGUGUUACUAGGAUCGGAGAUCCUAUUGAGAGAACCUUCUCUAUUUAUGUGUUUUUCAGUGAACUCAUUCAAAUAUCUCUUCUCUUUCCAUCCACUACUAGAAGCCAGCUUCCAAUAGUAUAUUUUCGUAUAAAAUAUACUAUCCUAUUAAUCACCUUUAUCCUAGACAAAAAUAUAGCUUUUUUUCUUGCGCCUUCAUCUUUUAUUCCAUUUACUCAAAAAAACAAAACAAUCUUUAUUCCAACAAUAGAAAAUGUAGCUGCUGAGAAUGGAUUGGCAUGUGCAAAUCAACCAUACUUGGCGUGAAGGAAAUAGAAGUGCCGAUUGGCUUGCUAAUUUUAGCAUUUCUGUGAAUUAUUUGAAUUUGAUUAUUUUGGAGACUCCUCCUAUUGAGCUUCGAAAGCUCAUGUUUGAUGAUAUUUCCGGGGCUUGCAUGCCUAAGAAUAUCCGGUUAAUUUCGUAGUUUCUUUUCUUUUGAGCUUUGCCCUCUAUUGUACCCAAAAAAAAAAAUUGUAGCUUCCAUUAUUCAUUAGAAUCAGUUAAAUUAGCUCUUGAUAAGUAGUUUACAAAAUUUAAUCAAAAUUGUAAUGUUUUUUAACGGAAAAAUCAUUUAAAAGUGACUUUAAUUAUCUAUCCUAGAAACUCUUAUCCUUACACUUUCUUUGCUUCUACCACUAUGAUAGAUCGAAAAUGUUCGACCAUGAUGAAUAUGGCAAUAAGAUGGAAGAGAUGUAAUGUGUUUCCUAGAAAACAUGAUCAUAUAAAUGUGCAUACAAAUUUAUUGAGCGAAUUCUAAUUUGUAUGAUGAGCCUAUGCUAUAAUGUAAGUCGGCUCCACAUCGAAGUGAUUCUAUUUAAAGAAGUAUCUCUUAGUUAAAAUUUGAACAUUGACUCAUCAUAUUGUUUGAGUAUAGUCUUUUAUGUUAGACUCAUCCUUUAUUGAUUGAGGUGGGAAGGUUUAUUAAAGCGAAAAUCAUAUUAUAUAUGCCCCACGUUAGCUGUGAAAGAAGGCGAUAAAUAUGACUUAUUUCCAGCUAUUGUGUGGAUUAGAGAGAUUAUAUUAGAAAGUGUUAAGUGGAGGAGUAUUUUUUACUUUUUAGUGGUGGAUAUUUUCAUUUAAGUCGAGUAGUUGAUUUUUCCUUUUUGUCCGUUCAUUACAAACUUGUUGAUUGAGCUAACUAAACAAAUAAUGUAGCGAUCCAUCAAUUAGUAAGGGUGGCUACAUCCACAAUUAGUCCUCAAUUUUAUUUUCUUAUAUUUUUUUGUAUAGUUCAUAUACAAUUAAUAAUAAUGAUAUGAGAUAUGUUUGUUUUCUUAAAAUACGUAAAAUGUGGUAUUUUAUGUAACCACAACCAGUAAUGUUACAUAUGGAUUUUCAUUACCAGCUUGAUCAAUCAAAUGCAUAACAUAACAUGAAUGAAAGGAAUAUCUUCAAAAAGCUUCUUCAAAAGUCAAAACUGAUGCACUAUCGAUAUCAGCUUCCACAAUGAACACUGCAAUAUGGAGCACUCUUUCCUCAUCAAUCAUUUGUUGUCAUUGAUAUGAUUCCACUAAUUGAUUAAAAAAAUUUCACGUGUUUGUUAAUCGCUCUUUCAUGAAACCAAAACACGACAAUGAAAGAAGAGUACUUGGUUGUGGUCUUCAGAUAAAUAUUAAUAUUGUUCAUACCAAUUGGUUUCUUUCCAUGGAAGUAAGUGGCACUACGCAUUUUAGUUUUUAUAAUCCCUGUCCUUGGAUUUUUGUAGGAAUUAAAGUUGAUGACAAGGACAAAAUUUCUAUGCAUUCAAUCAUAUCAUAGUGACACUGAGUGAGAAUGCAAAGAAUGUAGAAACUUAUCUAAAUUUCAAAAGUGUCGCCUUGAACCAUGUCCAAUCUUUCGCAUUGUGGGUUGUAAUCUCGUCAUAUAUUUCUUGCUAAUUUGUAAAUAAACUAGGAACCCGAGGAUUACAGGACUAUCUAGUUAGAAUAUUAUGGGAGAAUGUUAAGAGAAAUAAGAGGAUUGGCGAUGGGUGGUAGGAAAAUUGAAAAUAGAAUUAGCAUUUGCAAAAUUAGAGAGGGUGAUGACUUAAAUUAUUUGAAAUUAUAAAUUACAUUAUUUUCUGGUUAUUACUAUUUUCUGGCUUGUAUUUAUAACCGAGACACUUAACUGGUUUCUCCCCUACUUCAAUCCUGUGAGUAAUAUAACAAUGGCAUUUGGCCAAAAUAACUACUGUAAAUUUGGGGUUUCCUACUUAGCAAAUGUAAAAUUAAGAGAACAAUAAUAUUCAGAUGCUGCUGAUUCAAAAAUGCUCCUGACAUUCUGGGCAAUGAAAUUGCCUAAAACAUCAGACACUUGCCCCAGCAAAGAUUAAACAUCACACCAAGGAAUAAACACGCAGAUAUAGAGUUGAUAUUAAAAACAAACAGCAGGUCCGGAAACUUGCUGCUUGUAAAAUUCAGGUGUUCACACAAGACAAGACAAUUAAAGCAGAAACAAGAAAAAUAACUAGUCAUGCCACCGUCGAUCUAGAACCCAGUUCUGGGAACAAAAGCUGGGAGAUGACGGUGCAGACUUCACACUUAAUCCAAAAAACAACUUAACAAGACACGAAAUAGAAAUACUAAGAACCACAAACCAUUUAUUGUAAUAACGACUAUAAACUUCCCAAGGAAAAUCAUCCUGCACGGUUCAUUUCUUCUUGGCUGCUGACUUAGUUAUCUUAGCUGUGCCAGGUUCCUUCUUCUCCACACCCUUGAUAACCCCAACAGCCACAGUUUGCCGCAUAUCUCUGACAGCAAAACGGCCAAGUGGAGGAUAUUCAGAGAAAGUCUCAACCACCAUGGGCUUGGUGGGAAUCAUCUUAAUAAUACCAGCAUCUCCAUUCUUCAGGAAUUUAGGCUCCUUCUCGAUCUCCUUACCAGAACGCCUGUCAAUCUUAGUAACAAGCUCAGCAAACUUGACUGCAAUGUGGGAGGUGUGGCAGUCAAGAACAGGGGCAUAACCAUUUCCAAUCUGGCCAGGGUGAUUCAUGAUAAUCACCUGAGAUGUGAAGUUAGCAGCCUCCUUGGCUGGGUCAUCCUUGGUGUUUGAGGCAACAUAACCACGCUUGAGAUCCUUGACAGAAACAUUCUUAACAUUAAAUCCCACAUUGUCACCGGGAAGUGCCUCAGUGAGAGAUUCAUGAUGCAUCUCCACAGACUUGACUUCAGUUUGCAGUCCAGUUGGAGCAAAAGUCACCACCAUUCCAGGUUUCAUGGUACCAGUCUCAACACGUCCCACAGGAACAGUUCCAAUUCCUCCAAUCUUGUAGACAUCCUGAAGAGGUAGUCGGAGGGGCUUGUCUGAUGGCCUCUUAGGCUCAUUGAUUUGAUCAAGAGCCUCAAGAAGUGUUGGACCCUUGUACCAGUCAAGAUUUGUAGAGCGCUCAAUCAUGUUAUCUCCCUCAAAACCAGAGAUGGGAACAAAUGGAAUUUUAUCUGGGUUAUAGCCAACCUUCUUCAUGUAGGAUGAUACUUCCUUCACAAUUUCAUCAUACCUGCUCUUGGAGUACUUGGGAGUAGUGGCGUCCAUCUGUUCAAGAUAGCAAAAAAUCAGUACUUGUAUAAGCAAAUUAUAAAAAUAUCCAAAUGCAACUACAAAGGGGAAUCAAAAAAUUUACAGUUCAAAUACCUUGUUGCAGCAGCAGAUCAUUUGCCUCACACCAAGAGUGAAAGCAAGGAGAGCAUGUUCACGAGUCUGACCAUCCUUGGAAAUACCAGCUUCAAAACCACCAGUGGUGGAAUCAAUGAUGAGAACAGCACAAUCAGCUUGGGAUGUACCAGUAAUCAUGUUCUUAAUGAAAUCCCUGUGUCCAGGGGCAUCAAUGACAGUGCAGUAGUACUUAGUGGUCUCAAACUUCCACAGAGCAAUGUCAAUUGUGAUACCUCUUUCACGCUCAGCCUUGAGCUUGUCAAGAACCCAAGCAUACUUAAAUGAACGCUUGUUCAUCUCAGCAGCUUCUUUCUCAAACCUCUCAAUCACACGCUUGUCAAUACCUCCAAGCUUGUAGAUCAAGUGACCAGUGGUAGUUGACUUCCCAGAGUCGACAUGGCCAAUGACAACAAUGUUAAUGUGAACCUUUUCCUUACCCAUUGUCCUUAAAAGUUUAAAACCACAAAAAGUUCUGCAAAUUCAACAAAGAAAACAACAUAAGUAUAUACUUCAAAAGAAAGAAAAAGUAAGGAAAUUAACGGUAAACUAUCAAUUGAUCAAGACACAAGGAUAAAGACAUGUGUCUUAAAAUCACAAAUGAUCAGCCAUUCAGAGUUUCAAACAAUAAAUUAAUUUAUUAAAUAAGAGCAACAACAGCAACAUUCUGAUACAUACUUCAUGAUAUCCAGGUCAACAAUUCAAGUUUAAAGAGCAUAAUACAUUCAGUAAGAUAAUAUUCUAAACACAAACAUUCAUAAAGCAAUUCAAAAAGAACAUCUUCAUCACACACGCAUUUCUGUAUACAUCUUCAUCACAACAGAUAACAUUCAUACCAAAAUCAAAGCAAUGAAGAUUUCAGCAGAAUAAUCAAACAAAAUAACAACAUAUAAAAGAAACCCACGUUUGAAAAUACAAAACCCUUGGUCCUUCAAGUUAAAAUCACAAACGAUGAGCCAAAUCAACACAUGAAGACCAUACAUGAGUACAAAAUAAGAGCAACAACAAAAUUUCUAACGUUCAAGUUUGAAGGAGACUAAAUAGAAAACAGAAUUCAACAACAAAAUUAAAAUAAAAUAAGAGUAACAAGCAUAAACGAUGCUAAAAUAACAUUAUAUACAUGUAUAUUCAUAUAUGUAUCAAUCAGCACAAC